This 402-nucleotide long non-coding RNA is filed under the name Homo sapiens (human). RNAcentral describes it as "non-protein coding lnc-XKR4-2:1". The record is from RNAcentral. Lineage: Eukaryota; Metazoa; Chordata; Mammalia; Primates; Hominidae.
CUGAAACUGUGUUUCUAACUACCUUUAGAAACUUUAAAUACUGCCAACACUGGCGCUAGGGUCUUCCCUGAGGCUUUUUCAUUCUCUUUAGCAUCCUUAAUACAUAUUUAAAGAACACUCUUUUAACCUUUCUCUUUAGCAGUUCCAUUCCGGAUGCUUCGCUCCUGAAUUGAAUAACUCGUCUAGGACAACCUUUCCGUCUGUGAGCAUUUGUAAUAGAACGUUUUCCAAGCAACACCAAUGCCUGCGUCCUUCGGUGACAAAGGGCCUGGAUGCAGUCUGGGGACAUAUCAAAUGAAGGUGCGUGCAAGUGACACUAAAGCUCCAGGACGUGAUGCAGAUGUCCGCAUAACUGGCUGGGACAAAGAGCGCAUCUGAGCCUCUGCAACUCUCUCAUCUCAG